This 433-nucleotide ribosomal RNA is filed under the name uncultured bacterium. RNAcentral's name for it is "partial 16S ribosomal RNA". It matches the Rfam family "Bacterial small subunit ribosomal RNA", at positions 29 to 507 of the family's 1533-position model. The record is from RNAcentral.
AACGAACGCUGGCGGCAUGCCUAACACAUGCAAGUCGAACGAGACCUUCGGGUCUAGUGGCGCACGGGUGCGUAACGCGUGGGAACCUGCCCUUAGGUUCGGAAUAACUCCCCGAAAGGGGUGCUAAUACCGGACAAUGUCUUCGGACCAAAGAUUUAUCGCCUUUGGAUGGGCACGCGUUGGAUUAGCUAGUUGGUAGGGUAAAAGCCUACCAAGGAGACGAUCCAUAGCUGGGCUGAGAGGCUGAUCAGCCACACUGGGACUGAGACACGGCACAGACUCCUACGGGAGGCAGCAGUGGGGAAUAUUGGACAAUGGGCGAAAGCCUGAUCCAGCAAUGCCGCGUGAGUGAUGAAGGCCUUAGGGUUGUAAAGCUCUUUUACCCGGGAUGAUAAUGACAGUACCGGGAGAAUAAGCUCCGGCUAACUCCGUG